AUACACUUUUACAGACACAUCCAGCUGAUCCAGGACUUCAAAUUGCCAGCUGAGCCUACACUACACUAUGCUCCUGGAGAGGACUGUUUCACCUUUACACUGCCGUCCCCCUCCUGCUGCCUAGGUUUGGAGCCUGGACUUCUGCCCAAACGCCCCUUAAAGGAAGGAACUAUUUACUUUUUCUCCUUUUCCUGCCUUUUUGCUGCAUUAAUCUGUGAAGAAAUUAAAUACCACCCCACUGUUUGCUCUCUGUGCCUCUUCUUCUGUGUCCCAUCUCUCUGUCUCUCUCUAUAUAUAUUUAGUUUCUGUCAACAGACUGUUAAUGAUUUAUUUCUCCAUUUUCUUUAUUAAGACAGUUCACAUGAGCCUCUUCUCAAAGCCAGCUGUGUUCCUAACUUGACACAACUUAGAUGAAGGAUUCAGAGGCUCUUGAGAAGAUAGAAUAAAUGCUGGAAUCUGGUGAGAAGAUGGAUGGUGAGGUGGAGGAUGACUUUCAUCUUGGCUAUUCUGGAGAAUUAGAAGAAUAUCAUAAUGAGCUGGAGGAAGAUCUUCAGCAAACCAAAGAUGAGUCGAUGGCUGUCAGCCGUUGUUGUCAUCCAGGCCAUUCCAGUGGAAUGCUGGAGGCUUCAUCCGCUCUUUAGAUGGCAUGCU
Molecule: long non-coding RNA, 651 nt
Organism: Tachysurus fulvidraco (yellow catfish)
Lineage: Eukaryota; Metazoa; Chordata; Actinopteri; Siluriformes; Bagridae
Exons: 3
Source: RefSeq, a predicted model, not a curated record